Triticum dicoccoides is the source of this 1515-nucleotide long non-coding RNA. RefSeq lists it as uncharacterized. NCBI's taxonomy places the organism in Eukaryota, Viridiplantae, Streptophyta, Magnoliopsida, Poales, Poaceae. The record is from RefSeq and is a predicted model, not a curated record. The transcript has 3 exons.
CCAAUUCGCCUCGUCCCACUCCCGCACCAGCCGUCACACAAACCCUAGCCUUGUUUUCCCUCGAUCCCCACAGCCUCCCGCUCCCCUCCUCCAUCCCCCUCCUUGCGUCACCACGGCCUCCGCUCUGGAGCCCCGCCGCCGCCUCUCCUCCACCCCCUCCUCGCGUCGCCACGGCCUCCGCCCUGGAGUCCCGCCGCCGCCUGCUAUUCCUCCUCCACCAUGCUAGCCCCUCUACCUCGUCUUCCUUCUCUUCGUUGUUUGUUCCAGAUCGAGCGCGGGUUAGGCGAGCCCGGUGGUGGGGUGAAGGGGCAGGGGAAGAGGAGGUGGGCAACUAGGUGAAGGAGCAGGUCGGCCCUCCUGGAGGCAGCGCCGCCGCCCAGCCAGGGAGGAGGCCAGACUCUCCUCUAGGCUCGCCUCUGUUUUGCCCUGAGCGGCGGCAGCGCCUAUGCCUCCACCCCACCUUCUUUUCCAUGCCUCUUCCAUGGCAUGGCAGGCAGAUUUUGGGGAUGGGGAGACCCCAUGAAUAAUAAUUCAAGUGGACGGACGAUGCGCCUUGUUGUUUAGCGGUAUGAUCUAUGAUGGUUGGCGAAAGUAUGUUCUAUAUUGCAAGGUGAUGGGUUGCUGAUUUUUGUAGCCCACUUCUGCUAAUUUCUAUCGACUUCUACUUAAUCUGAUAUCUGUUGUGUAAGUAAUGCACUAAUUCAGUUCAUGACACCAAGUUGGAGCUGUACAAAGUGCUGCUAAAUUAAGGUUCCUGGUUACAACACGCACAAUUUGGUGUCCUGAUAUCCUUUGUGUAUCCUCUUGAAGGAGCAUUGGGUGAGAUUGUUGUUGUGACAAGAAUUGGUACUAGGCUGGGUGAUACAACAAUGGAUUUCAUCCAAGGAAUAACCAAAUGGCGCAGAGACCCGCUAAAGACAUCUCCAGUUGUUGAAUCAACUAUUGUCCCAUGUUGUUUGGAUCAUCUAUCGUGCCGCACUGUCUAGCUGAAAUGGACAAAUGACUUAGGAACGACGUAUAAUCGAUUUUUGCUCUUUUUAUCCCUUGAAAGGUGAUAUGCAACAUUAUGAAUUUGCUUCCAUUUGCAGGGAUAGGUGUCCUCCCUCCUCUUGGUGACAUAUAAGAGGACCUGCACACUGAACCGGGAAGUCCUUUUUUAGGCAGUGGUCAUGGAGCAACAAUAUAUGCUGCGUGGCAUUGCAGGUUAUUUUCCGCCCCGGUCGAUCCAGGCACGGCAUCGGAUGGGAGAGAUCAGGGGAGGGCCAAGAGGCCAGCGGUGUGGGGUGGAGCAGCGAGGCCGAACACCGGGCAGCGGACGCCUCACGGGGUGGAGGAGAGGCCGGCGAUAGGGAAAAGCAGCAUCUUCAUGGAUGAGAUCCUGACGGCUGAAGAUGGUGCGCACGGGAGGAGCUUGGAAGAUGUCAAGGUGAGCUUCUCUCAAUCCUUCUCCCCUUCACGCCCCUUGCAAUUUUUUCUUGUUUCAGAUCAUAUGAAAGUGAGUAUAGCCUUGUUGGC